GACGAACGCUGGCGGCGCGCCUAACACAUGCAAGUCGAAUGGAGUCAAGAGGAGCUUGCUUUUCUUGACUUAGUGGCGAACGGGUGAGUAACGCGUGAGUAACCUGCCCUGGAGUGGGGGACAACAGUUGGAAACGACUGCUAAUACCGCAUAAGCCCACGGAUCUGCAUGGAUCUGCGGGAAAAGGAUUUAUUCGCUCUAGGAUGGACUCGCGUCCAAUUAGCUAGUUGGUGAGGUAACGGCCCACCAAGGCGACGAUUGGUAGCCGGACUGAGAGGUUGAACGGCCACAUUGGGACUGAGACACGGCCCAGACUCCUACGGGAGGCAGCAGUGGGGGAUAUUGCACAAUGGGGGAAACCCUGAUGCAGCGACGCCGCGUGGAGGAAGAAGGUUUUCGGAUUGUAAACUCCUGUCGUUAGGGACGAUAAUGACGGUACCUAACAAGAAAGCACCGGCUAACUACGUG
RNAcentral lists this ribosomal RNA (468 nucleotides) under uncultured bacterium. RNAcentral's name for it is "partial 16S ribosomal RNA". It matches the Rfam family "Bacterial small subunit ribosomal RNA", at positions 28 to 507 of the family's 1533-position model. The record is from RNAcentral.